Molecule: ribosomal RNA, 871 nt
Filed under: uncultured archaeon
Lineage: Archaea
Description: bacterial SSU rRNA
Rfam family: Archaeal small subunit ribosomal RNA
Source: RNAcentral
CAUAACCCCGGGAAACUGGGGAUAAUACCGGAUAUGUGGGGCUGCCUGGAAUGGUACCUCAUUGAAAUGCUCCGGCGCCUAAGGAUGGAUCUGCGGCAGAUUAGGUAGUUGGCGGGGUAAAUGCCCACCAAGCCAGUAAUCUGUACGGGUUGUGAGAGCAAGAGCCCGGAGAUGGAACCUGAGACAAGGUUCCAGGCCCUACGGGGCACAGCAGGCGCGAAACCUCCGCAAUGCGAGCAAUCGCGACGGGGGAGACCCAAGUACCACUCUUAACGGGGUGGUUUUUCUGAAGUGUAAAAAGCUUCAGGAAUAAGAGCUGGGCAAGACCGGUGCCAGCCGCCGCGGUAACACCGGCAGCUCGAGUGGUGGCCGUUUUUAUUGGGUCUAAAGGGUCUGUAGCCGGCCGGAUAAGUCUCUUGAGAAAUCUGGCAGCUUAACUGUCAGGCUUUCAGGAGAUACUGUCUGGCUCGAGGCCGGGAGAGGUGAGAGGUACUUCAGGGGUAGGGGUGAAAUCUUGUAAUCCUUGAAGGACCACCAGUGGCGAAGGCGUCUCACCAGAACGGACCUGACGGCAAGGGACGAAAGCUAGGGGCACGAACCGGAUUAGAUACCCGGGUAGUCCUAGCCGUAAACGAUACUCGCUAGGUGUCGGCCACGGUGCGACCGUUGUCGGUGCCGUAGGGAAGCCGUGAAGCGAGCCACCUGGGAAGUACGGCCGCAAGGCUGAAACUUAAAGGAAUUGGCGGGGGAGCACCACAACGGGUGGAGCUUGCGGUUUAAUUGGAUUCAACGCCGGGAAAUCUUACCGGGACCGACAGCAAUAUGAAGGCCAGGCUGAAGACUUUGCCGGAUUAGCUGAGAGGUGGUGCAU